This 32-nucleotide ribosomal RNA is filed under the name uncultured Actinomycetes bacterium. Its description in RNAcentral is "uncultured actinobacterium partial 16S ribosomal RNA". Lineage: Bacteria; Bacillati; Actinomycetota; Actinomycetes. The record is from RNAcentral.
CCGGAAGGUGCGGCUGGAUCACCCCCUUUCUA